RNAcentral lists this ribosomal RNA (253 nucleotides) under uncultured bacterium. Its description in RNAcentral is "partial 16S ribosomal RNA". It matches the Rfam family "Bacterial small subunit ribosomal RNA", at positions 524 to 776 of the family's 1533-position model. The record is from RNAcentral.
UACGUAGGGUCCGAGCGUUAAUCGGAAUUACUGGGCGUAAAGCGUGCGCAGGCGGUUGUGCAAGACAGAUGUGAAAUCCCCGGGCUCAACCUGGGAACUGCAUUUGUGACUGCACGGCUGGAGUGCGGCAGAGGGGGAUGGAAUUCCGCGUGUAGCAGUGAAAUGCGUAGAUAUGCGGAGGAACACCGAUGGCGAAGGCAAUCCCCUGGGCCUGCACUGACGCUCAUGCACGAAAGCGUGGGGAGCAAACAGG